GAUGAACGCUGGCGGCGUGCUUAAUACAUGCAAGUCGAACGGAAAGGCGAGGCUUUUGCGGGUCGGAUGUGAGCGGCGGGGGUGAGAAUCACGCGAGGAAAACGUCCCUGUCUGAGUGAGAUAUUCACGAAAAUGGGGCUAUUAUCGGAUAGGAUCUUUUGAUCCGCAGUGGGGAAAAGUAAGAUUCGGCGGUGGGGGAUGGUAUAGAGGGUUAUGAGCUUGUUGGUGUGGUUGUGGCUGACCAAGGUUUUGACGGCUAGCCGGCAUGAGAGGGUGACCGGCCACAUUGGGACUGCGAUACGGCGCAGACUCCUACGGGAGGCAGCAGUGGGGAAUAUUGCACAAUGGGCGGAAGCCUGAUGCAGAAACGCCGCGUGCGGGAUGACGGCCUUCGGGUUGUAAACCGCUUUCGCCUGUGACGAAGCGUGAGUGACGGUAAUGGGUAAAGAAGCACCGGCUAACUACGUG
Molecule: ribosomal RNA, 468 nt
Filed under: uncultured bacterium
Lineage: Bacteria
Description: partial 16S ribosomal RNA
Rfam family: Bacterial small subunit ribosomal RNA
Source: RNAcentral